AUGCCCGAAGGGUGACGAAGCGACGCCGCGUGGGUGAGGAAGGCCCUCGGGUUGUAAAGCCCUGUCAGGAGUUAAGAAAUGUAGGUGUGCUAAUAUCACGCCUAUUUGACGAAGGCUCCAAAGGAAGCCACGGCUAACUCUGUGCCAGCAGCCGCGGUAAUACAGAGGUGGCAAGCGUUGUUCGGAAUUAUUGGGCGUAAAGAGCACGUAGGUGGGUUUGUAAGUCAGAUGUGAAAGCCUCCUGUUCAACGGGAGAAUUGCAUCUGAAACUACUGAUCUUGAGUGUAGGAGGGGAGAAUGGAACUUCUGGUGGAGCGGUGAAAUGCGUAGAUAUCAGAAGGAACGCCGGCGGCGAAAGCGAUUCUCUGGCCUAUUACUGACACUCAGUGUGCGAAAGCUAGGGGAGCAAACGGGAUUAGAUACCCCGGUAGUCCUAGCCGUAAACGAUGGGCACUAAGUAGAGGGGU
Molecule: ribosomal RNA, 467 nt
Filed under: uncultured Planctomycetota bacterium
Lineage: Bacteria; Pseudomonadati; Planctomycetota
Description: bacterial SSU rRNA
Rfam family: Bacterial small subunit ribosomal RNA
Source: RNAcentral